UACGUAGGGUGCGAGCGUUGCUCGGAAUCACUGGGCGUAAAGGGUGCGUAGGCGGGUCUUUUAAGUCAGGGGUGAAAUCCUGGAGCUCAACUCCAGAACUGCCUUUGAUACUGAGGAUCUUGAGUUCGGGAGAGGUGAGUGGAACUGCGAGUGUAGAGGUGAAAUUCGUAGAUAUUCGCAAGAACACCAGUGGCGAAGGCGGCUCACUGGCCCGAUACUGACGCUGAGGCACGAAAGCGUGGGGAGCAAACAGG
Molecule: ribosomal RNA, 254 nt
Filed under: uncultured bacterium
Lineage: Bacteria
Description: partial 16S ribosomal RNA
Rfam family: Bacterial small subunit ribosomal RNA
Source: RNAcentral